Long non-coding RNA from Callithrix jacchus (white-tufted-ear marmoset), 4278 nucleotides. RefSeq lists it as uncharacterized. The record is from RefSeq and is a predicted model, not a curated record. NCBI's taxonomy places the organism in Eukaryota, Metazoa, Chordata, Mammalia, Primates, Cebidae.
AGCUAUGUACCACAAUUUUAAUACAAAGAAAAAUAAUCUGGUCUACAAAAACAUCUAAAUAUUGAAGACUAUGCCAGAAUUUGGCAGAAAAUUUAUAUAAUUGUUUAUGGUAUAAUAGUUGCAAUAUUAAAUCUGCAAUGAAUUGCAAAAAGAAAAUAAACAUAAUACUAAAUUUUUAAUGUAACAUUUCAGUUAUUUUUCUGGGUUUCUUGUUGGAUUAAAUGCAUAGUCUAUUCCCAAAUCAAAUGUAUCUAAUGUAUUUUACACAGAGCAAUGAACUAUACAUUGAUAAUAAAAAGGAAGUAGGAAAAUCUUACUCCCUACAAGCAAAUUUAUCUAUCUGGAUUAUUUCGUGUGUAGGAAAUAAGGCAAUGAAGUCUCAAGAAAAUAAAAUGUUUUGCUAAGCUUAAAAACUUGCUCUGAAAAUACAUUUCUCUCAUUUUGACCCUUUAUUUAGAAUAUUAAUUCUCAAAAGCAUUUGAGAAUGUGGCCCUUUAUUUAGAAGAGUAAUUCUAAAGUCCCUGUUAGCAAGGCAUAUUCUCAAUUUCUACCCUGAACUUUCUGCAUCAUAAUUUUGGGGAUAUGGCCCAGCAAUUGGCAUUUUACAAUCCCUUCAGGGUAUCCUUAUUCUUGCUAAAGUUUAAUAAUCCCUGCAAUAGAAUACAUUUUGGUCUAUUUUUUUUGUCAUCAUGGGAGAGGAAUCUACCAGUAAAUAGAGAGUCAAAGUAUUUAAUGGAAAUUAGUAAAUAAAUUGUCUCUCAAAGAGUCCACUAAUAAUAUAGUACCUGUAGAGAAUACUGACUCACAGGAGGACGAACUUAGCAAGUCAUUCUUAGAGCCUUCACCGCACUAUCAUCCUGAAAGUUACAUGACCUCACUACAUGAGGGAGAAAACAACACAAGAGCAGAUGUCUUCUUUUUAAAGGCUUGUAUAAAUCGUAUUUAUUCAGUAGCUAUUUUAUUGUUCUAGAGGUAUUACAAAAACAAAUGUUUAAAUUGCAUUAUUAUUUAUUUAUGUUGGUAACAUUUUAUCUAACCAUCAAAUUUAUACAUGGGAAGAUAUUUGUCAAAUCCAUUUUGUUUCUAUGAAAUUAAAAGUCUUCAUUUCAUAUAAUUCACACUUUCUUGAAAUAGAACACAAACUAUUUGUAAGUUAAAAUGUGUUCCACAUGCAUGUGUUAUAAAUGUCCGUGACAUUUUCAUCUCAAAGUCGAUGAAAAUGUUCUUACUACCUGUUAGUUUUACACAGACUCUGUAGUUUAUCCAUGAUAUUAUCUCAAAUUGAAUUUAAGAAAAAAUUGACUAAAAUAAGCACUAACAAAACAAUAGGUCAAGAAAAUGGUAUUUAAAACUGUAUAGGUAAUAAAUUAUCAAUAUGUUUGACUCUUAAAACCCAGUGAAAAACUGAAGAUUGAAAUACAGAAUAUUAAAAUUAACUUUAAAAGAGAAAUGAUGCACUUUAUUUUGGGGGGGAAUAACAUUUACAAUGUCAUGUCAAUUAAAAACAAAUUACAAUAAAUUUCCUUUGGAAGUACAAAUGAUAUGAAACCUUAAUAUUGUUGUUUUACCAUGAUUAAAAUUAUUUCCCUUUAUAUCUUGCUACCAACAGAGUAUUAAUUAAAUAACUGAUUCACAUAUACACCCUAACCCUUCCUCCAUUUCUCAGUACAAUUAUAGCUGAGUUUCAAGAAGACAGAGAACACAUAUUUUUUACAUCAAAUGAAAAAUUUACAUAAGUAUUAUGUACAGAUUACAUAAAACGUGAUCCAUUACUUACUCUCUCAACUGUACAUCACUGUUCAGAAAUUAAGCAGCUAUCGAGCUUUUAAUGAACAAUAGGUGGAAGUCUAGCCAAUUAUUUGCCUUGCAUUGUCGUUAUUUGAUUUUAAAAAGCAUUUUGUUCUACAGCCUUGUAAUUCUUUUUUAUGGUAGUAAAAAUAUAACUACGUAUCCUGUGCCAGACAUGCCAAUUCAGUUGUGAUUUCAUCAUUCAGACAUGGUCUGUCUUGUUUCUACUCCAGUCUCAGCAGCUAGAAUCAUGCCUGAUCCAUUGGAAUAUAAAAAAAUACUUGAAGAAUGAAUGAACUAAUAAAGAAUGAAUAAAUAUACUGGCUAUAUGUGUAUGUAUUAAUAUUUUUCCAGAAAUAUAGAGGUUAAUUAUAUGUUAACAAAAGGAAGAUAAUUUUUUUCUGCCAAAUUAGGUCAUCACUUUUUAAAAUUUUCAUUCAUUUGAAAAUAGUUAUUGAGUGAUUAUCAUGAUCCAUCUUUCUGUAAGCAAUCCAGUCUGGUUAUGAGAUAAUUCUUAGUGGUGUCAGAGAUUGAUCCAUAAAUUCUUUCAGUGACCAAAGGUGGAGAUAAAACCUUCAAAACUCUAUGUAUCUACUACAAAGGGCGUAUGUAGAUUUUGUUUAAUGUUCAAAAUAUAGUAAUAAUGGUAUGGACAAAGAGGAUAUUUGUUGAGUGUCUUCCAAUUUUAAAAAAUACAUUGAAUCCUUUGUUGAACAGAUUAGAUUAUUUUUCAUUAGUUACUAAUCAUUCAUAACCUCAUAUUUGUUUUGCACUCAAACAUUUAUUUCUCCUAGAAUAUAUGCAGGUACAUUUGGAUUGUAAUUUUGUGUUUGUAUAUUUUCUGCAAAUAGCCUAAAUAUAAUGAAAUGAACAUAAAAACAUGUCUUCUUAAGCUAUUUGAAGUAUGGUUCAGUACUUUUUUCCCAAGUAUAUGCAUAUGCACAUCUACUUUGACACUGACAACUUAAAGUAAAAUUAAACAUUACUUAAUGGAAAAUCUCUUUGGUGACCCUAGAGUAAAUUUAUGUAUACCUGCAUGCAUGUAUGUUUGUAUAUAAAUAUUAGAGUAUAGGCAUAUGUAGCUACAUAGCUUUAAAUGGGUUCAUAUUGAACAUACUGCUCUAAGUAUUUCCAUUUUACGAUAGAAUAAUGUGAGCAUAUUUCAAUAUUAAUACAUAUAAAUUUAUCUCCUUCAAAAGGACACCUCAUUUUUCCUGAGUAUAUCUGUGGGAAAAUAAUACCAAUUGCUGUAACCCCAAAUUUUCAGUAGCUCAAGGAACAAAAAAAACACACUCUCCUGCUUCCCGCACCAUCACCAAGCUCUUUGUGUUGCAGGCAACAAGAUGGAGAGAAGAGCUGUAGCCCUUUGGGGACCUCCGACCUAGGGGCUUCCUGAGCCACGGCUGUAACUCCCUUUUUGGGGCUCUGCAGUUUCUGGCGUCUGCAAGUUUCUGGUCACUACUGCAGUCCCCAAAUCUAGAUGCUGGCGCCUGCAGCAGAAGCCACUUUUGGUAUGUUUGGUCAAGCUGCAGUCUUGCACAGAGCUGGUGAAGCGGUUUCAAUGAAAGCCAACAUAAGAAUAAACAUAGAUAGAUUGAACCAACAGUGGGCUUUUUUGGUUUAAACUUGGGCCUGGGAGCAAAUGCAAGUGAUAAAGUCAUUAUGAAAGUGGGUUUAAAUGAUUACACAUUAAAAAUUUAAUUUUGAAAUGUAUAAGCUAAUAAAUUUGGAAAUGGACGGCCACUUGAAGAUGUAUACCCAUCAUGUAUAUUUUAGCAUGAAGCUAAAUUAAGCAUGAAGCUCUGGUUCCAUGACUUCUGGAAGGCAAUGGCCAGUCUCAGACUUAAGGAUUAACAGGUAUUUGGGAGGCUGAGGCAGAAGAAUUGCUUGAACCUGGGAGGUGGAGGUUGCAGUGAGCCGAGAUCAUACCACUGCACUCCUGCCGGGGUGACAGAGUGAGACUCUGUCUCAAAAACAAACCGAAACAUGGACACUGCCUGAGCACCCUCAUUCUGUGUUUGAAGAAAUACAGAUACAAUGGCAGAAAUGCAAGAUACAUUUUCUUGGAAUUACAGUAAAGAAUCUGCAAGUGUUGUGGCUUCUUACGUGUUGACAAGAAGCUCUUCUGGGACCGUCAGCUUUUCUUCUGUUACUACCUGUUGAGGUGAGAGCGAAAAAGAUGGAGACAGCAAAAGAGCCACGAAGUGGUCCAUUCUCUUUCCGUCUCUGACCCAAGGAUCAAGUCUUGAUCUUGUUGCCCAGGCUGGAGUGCAUUGGCUCCCUGCAACCUCCGUCUCCCAGAUGCAAGCGUUUCUCCUGCCUCAGCCUCCCAAAUAGCUGGGAUUGCAGGUACAAAAGAAAGCAAGUGAUCCACACAUUCUGUAAACGUAGUAAUGCACACAGACCAGUGAUUACUGAUUCAUUGACUGGCGUGUAGAACAAACCAAGUAAGUCGAGAAAAAAAUACUAUUUUAAAAUAUCUUCCAUUUA